RNAcentral lists this long non-coding RNA (425 nucleotides) under Pan troglodytes (chimpanzee). RNAcentral describes it as "long non-coding RNA NONPTRT013671". The record is from RNAcentral. Lineage: Eukaryota; Metazoa; Chordata; Mammalia; Primates; Hominidae.
ACAGUUCUUAUCCCAUCUUAAAAUGUCAGAUUGGCUAUUUCAUAUUUAAAACUUCAGUGACUCCUGAAGGCAUUUGAGUUUGUGGUCCUAGAGUUUUCUAACUAUAUAGUCUCUUGAGUCUCAAGUCAUAGAUUACUUUCAGAAUGAUAAAGUCACAUUUUGUGAUUAGUUUAUCUCAUUUGAAAAUGGUAUAAAUUCCCACUCCAGCCUGGGUGACAGAGUGAGACUGUCUCAAAAAAGAAAAGAAAAGAAAAGAAAAGAAUAGUCAUUUAAAUUCAACAAUACAGAAAAUGGAAGAUGCCAGAUGCCUCAAAUGUAGUUAGAUUUAUCCCUGAAAAACAGUAUUAGUGUAUUAUUUGAAAAAUCAAUCAAUCUAAUUCUUUGCAUUCACAGAAUUAAAGUGAAAAAUUAUGUGAUUAUCUUAC